Molecule: long non-coding RNA, 6682 nt
Filed under: Sus scrofa (pig)
Lineage: Eukaryota; Metazoa; Chordata; Mammalia; Artiodactyla; Suidae
Description: lncRNA (ENSSSCG00060024381.1)
Source: RNAcentral
UUAUUUAUAUACCAUUAUGUGCAUAACACUAUAUAUGGGGCAUCAUUCCCUAACCAUACUGAUUUUUUCUCUAGUGUCAUAAGUACACGUACAUUCUCAAUAUUUACCAUUAAGUGAGUGUAUGGAAUGGAUGUUCUCCGUGGAUAUAUGUGAACAAGGGAGGUGUUAUCACACCUCACUGAUUUAGAAGCUGUUUGUCAGACAACUGAACUAUCUGAAACACAGCUCAGAUCGAAGAGGAAAACAAAAUGGAUGUCUCAGGACAUGUCAACACUGGGCAGUUGAUUUACAAAAGCAUCGUUUUAGUCUGUUCAUCCUUAUGUUACGUAUAGUUCACGUCAGCCAGUUUUGUUGGUUUCUUUGAUGAAAGGACUUGAAUUUUGGAGGCAGAGUACGAGGGGGUUGAAUUCAAGUAAAUUAACUCUUCUGAAAAUUAAUGAGUCUCCUUUUCUUCAUCUGAGUCAGAAAUAAUGGCAUUUAACCAUAAAGUUUUGUUAUGAGAAUUAAAGAACCUACUAUAGGAAAAGAAUCUAAUGAAACCUGAUAGACAUUAUUCUUCAAAAGGGAUUUCUUUCUUUUCCUUCUUUUCCCAGCCCAUGGUGGAUGGAAAGCAGGAGAAGAGAAGGAGUUUUCAGAGAUGCACAGGCCAAACUUAUGGUCCAGCCUGACCAUAAGAGUAUCAAAUAGAAAGAGCGGCUCAAAGCCCCCAUGCUACUCACUUCUGGGGCCACCAUUGGGUCCCAGGAAACAGUAAAAGGUGAAAUUGUACUUGGUAUACUUCUCAGAAGUUGGUGAGACAUGCCAGAACCUAUAGAACUACUUCUCCCCCUGAUAAAGACAAAACAGAGAAAAUGUUGGGGGUAACUAGUAAAACUUGGCUCAGCAUAGAGAAAAGCUGAGAUGUUCUGGUGACAAGAAAUGGAUGUACUUGAAGGGCUCAAAUGAAAGUCUAUGCAUUAUGCAAAGUCAGCAAGCUCUUUCAGGAAAGGGCCAGAUAGUCAAUAUUUUCCACUUUUUGAACCACAUACGGUCUCAGCCACAAAUUCUUUCGUGUGUACGUGUGCACAUGUGUUUUGCCGCAUUUAAAAAAUAUUAAAUAAUUCUUAGCUUAUAUGCGGUACAAGAGCAAGCCACAGACUAGCUUUGGCUAUUGUGCAAUGAUAUACUGUGAAAGAUUACAGUAAGGUGACUUUUACAAAAAUUGCAUAAAUUUUCAUAGAUUAAUGAGUGUAGUGUAUAUGUCAGUGUUUAAGUCACCCCACUAGAAACAAAACUACACUCACUGUCGUUUUAAAUAAAUGUACGCAUUGAGGAGUACUCAUGUAAAUUUGCCCCUACUUAUAAGCUGGGUUUUUAACCAGCCAAGAUGAUGACUGUUGAAAGUAGGAUUCAUAAACACAUCUGAGAGAAAAGUAGAAGCAUAUCCCAUAAUGGGAGCUCAUAUUUAUUGUAAAGUUACUAUGGGCCAGGCACGGUAUAAUAUGUAGUUGCUCUGGACUGAAUCGUGUUGUCUCAAAAUUCCUAUGUUGAAGUUCUAAGCCCCACUGUGACUGUAUUUGGAGUAGUGCUUCUAAGAAAGUAUUUCAGGUUAAAUGAGCUCAUAAGAGUGGAACCCUAGUUCAGUAAGACUCGUGUCCUUUUCGGAAGAGAAAGGUGGAGUUCCUGUUGUGGCCCAGGGGAAAUGAACCUGAUUGGUGUCCAUGAGGACUCAGGUUCAAUCCCUGCCCUUGCUCAGUGGGUUAAAGGAUCCAGCAAUGCUGUGAGCUGUGGUGUAGGUUGCAGAGGCAGCUUGGAUCUGGCAUUGCUGUGGCUAUGGUGCAGAACAGGAGCUGCAGCUCCAAUUCAACCCCUAGCUUGGGAACUUCCAUAUGCCACAGGUGCAGCCCUAAAAAAAAAAAAAAAAAAAAAAAAAAAAAGGAGAGAGAGAGAGAGAAAGGCACCGCAGGACUGUAUGUGCACAAAGAGGCCAGGUGAGGUCACAGCAAGAAGGCUGCUAUCUGCAAGCUGGGAAGAGCGUUCUCGCUAGAAACCAACCAUGCUGACACAUUGAUCUUGGACUUCCACCCUCCAAAACUGUGAGAAAACAAGACUGUCUGUUGCUUCAGCAGUUAUUUAAGCUACUGGUCUGUAGUAUAUUUGUUUUUGUAGGGCCACAGUUGCGGUAUAUGGAAGUUCCCAGGCUAGGUGUUGAAUCAGAGCUUCAGCUGCCAGCCUAUGCCACAGCGAUAGCAAUGCCGGACCCGAGCCAUGUCUGCGACCUACAUUACAGCUCCUGGCAAUGCCAGAUCCUUAAUCCAGUGAGAGGGGCCAGGGAUCGAACCUGUAUCCUCAUGGAUACUAGUCAGGUUUGUUAGCACUAAGCUACAAUGCAAACUCCAUGGGCUAUAGUAUUUUGUUAUGGCAGCCUGAGCAAACUAAUACAGCACUAUUUAGGUGAAAUCCUAAAAUAUCCUUUAUGGAAGGUGUUAUUAUUAUCCUUAAAGAGAAAAUCCAGAGAUGGAAAGAGGUUAAGUAACAUACCCAAUCUCGCCCAGUUAGUAAGUGGUAGGGCUGGGAUUUGAACCCUGGUAAACAUAAUCCAGGGCUUAUGUUCUUCAAUAAGUGUCUUCCAACCAAGGUGAGCAGGUUACAUGGAUGCUCUUCUCUGUUUUAUAUUAAGGAUGGCUUUCCACUUAAUGAAACAAAACCCAUAGGAAUAGCUAACUAAUGUAGAACAGCUCACUAAUGCUUAAAGUGCUUUAGCACAUGACCACAUGAAGACUUCUCUAAAUCUUAAUCAUACAAAUUUCAUUGCUUCCAAAAGAAGCAAAACAAAGCAUAGAUUGAAUAGCCUAUUACUUGGGCGGGCGUGGGGGGGCGGAUGUUGGGAUUUGCCCAAGGGAAGAAAUAUGAACCAGAUUUUAUUUCUCUCCUUAUGCCUUAUACAAUAUGUAUGCACUUAUAAUGGACACCAUGGCCACUUUGGUAUAGAUGUUUUUAUAUAAACCAUUUUUUUUUUGCAAAAUAUGUUGUGUACCUAAGGAAAGAUUAAUUUUCCAAAAUAAACUGGUCUUCCAGAAUUUUAUAGACGUGAAGGGGAGAAAGCAGACAUACGAAAGCCAAUCUUUAUUUUGGCAGUCAUUUCCUCCUCUCCCUUUCUCUCCUCUGUUGCUCCUGAUCUCCGAAUUUAGAAUUCAGCUUUGGCUAAUCCUCAGCAGUGUUCCACUAGAGAGAUGCUCAGACUUGGAGAUUAAUCCUGAACUGAAUUAAAGUCUAACUGAUUACACAGUUGAAGAUUGUUACAGUGAUGGGAAAACCACGGCUAACAUGGGCAGGAAUUAUCAUUAAAGGGUCCCCACAUGGUCAACUCUUGUAUUUGCUUGGUUUCCAGUUUAAUAAUCAAAAAAUGUCAUCUAUGUGGUGUUGAAUGGGCUCAUCAGAAUAUUCCGAAUGAAAAAUGCCAAACCAGGAGUUUUCAUCGUAGCUCAGCGAUAAUGAACCCAACUAGUAUCCAUGAGGAUGCAGGUUCAGUGCCUGGCCUUUCUCGUGGAUUAAGGACCCAGCAUUGCCAUGAGCUGUGGUGUAGGUUGCAGUUGUGGAUUGGAUGCUGUGUUGCAGUAGCUGUGGCAUAGGCCAGCAGCUACAACUCCAAUUUGACUCCUAGUCUGGGAACUUCCAUAUGCUGCAGGUGCAGCCCUAAAAAGACAGGACAAAAAAAAAAAAAAANAAAAAAAGGAAAGAAAGAAAAAAGAAAAAAAGAAAAAUGCCAAACCAGAAUGCCUCAGGAAGAUGUGAAAAGACUUCACAUAGCAAAUGAGCCCUCUUUGGACCGGUGACAGAUAAAAUGACAUUCAUUUCAUUGAUUCCCCAAGAGCUUGUAAUUUUAGUCAUAUAGAAAUGGCUUUCUGAAAUGUCUAAACAGGCAUUUUUUAUUACUUUUCUAUAAAACACGUACUGAAUACUGAUGAUAAAUAUUCAGUUGGAUUCUAGUGGAAACAUAGCCUGAAACAUAAAUAUUAGACUUCAUCAUUUAUUAGAAAAGGAAAAUUUCUUGAGAAAUAUUAAAGACAUAAGCCUUACUGACUAACCCAGUACAAAAGUAAUUAACUUUGUUCUUUUUUCUUCCACUCUUACCUUGUAAGAUUGAUGUUCAAAAAUGUUAGACCUAUGAUGGGUGUGCUUUGUAUGAUGUGGAAAAGAAAUGGAGCUGUGAGACUUGUGUAUGUAUGUAGAGAUGAGUAACUUGUGUUAUUGACAGUAUCAACAAUGAUAGCCAAUAUUUUUUCAUUUAACUACCAUUACUUAAGACACACUAAAAAUGUGUCAAACUCCUUAGCUAGCUACUUAUGAUAUACUAGUAAAUAAAGCAAAGAAUUCUGUCUUUGGAGAGCUUAUGUUCUACAGACGGGAAAUAAAAAACGAUCAACGAGGAGUUCCUGUUGUGGCUCAGUGAGUUACAAAUCUUACUAAUAUCCUGAGGGUGUGGGUUCGAUCCCUGACCUCGCUCAGUAGGUUAAGGAUCUGGCGCUGCUGUGAACUGUGGUGUAGGUUGCAGAUACAGCUUAGGUCUUGCAUUGCUGUGACUGUGGCUGUGGCUGUGGCUGGCAGCAACAGCUCUGAUUAGACCCCUAGCCUGUGAACCUCCAUAUGCCGCAAAUGCGGCCCUCAAGAGACAAAAGACGAAAAAAGAAAAAAAGAAGUUUUGGAGGAUGCUUCUAGACAAUUGAAAAUGGUCCAUGGCAGGGCUUGGUAUUUUGAGGAAAAAUAAGGUGGCUGAGGCUGGAGUCCUAUGAGCAGGAGAAAGAGGCAGGAAAUGAGAUCAAAGAGUUGGCAGUUGAAGGGUGAGUUCAGGGAGCAGGUGGAAGGGCAUGGGGUUUGAUUUGAUUUGAUUUACACUAUGAUGGGUAGACGCUCUUAAAAGGUGCCUGGUGAAAAGUGACAUAAUGUAACUCACGUUUUAACUGGGUCAUUCUGACUCCUUUGUGAGGAGGAACCUUAACAGAGCAGUGGAGGAAAAAGGAGCACAUGUAGGGGAUUUUGCUGGGGUCCGAGGGACAACCUACGGGGGUUUGUUGGGAUUGCGGUGGCAGUGAUGGAGAUCCGGUCAAUUUUGAAUAUAAUUUAGAUAGAAGCCAAUAGGAUUUUCUAAUAUGUGAGGGGUAAAAGGAAGAAAUGUUACUCAGCCAUUAAAAAAAAAAAAAAGAAAUCUUGCCAUUUGCAACAAUAUGAUAGACCUAGAGUGUUGUAGUAAUUAUUUUGUAAUGUAUAAAAAUAUUGAAUCACUAUGUAGUAACAUGAACCUAACAUAAUGUUGUAACUCAAUUAAUAAAUAAAAUAAAAAUAAAAGGAAAAAUAUGAAUUUAUCUGUAAUAAAAAUAAUUCUUUUGACCUAGAGAAGGAGCAUGGAAAGGAGAAAUGUAGUCCCCCUUCUCACCAACCUUAAUUAUGACCACAAGCCCAGGGAACUAUAUAUUCACAGAAACUUUGGGGCAGCACUUUAUUAUUAUGCCCUUUUCAGGGGCAUCCUUUUCUUUGUAAAUCCGUAAAUAGGGCAAAAGAGCAGGGUGAGUGGUAAUAUUCAGUUUUGCCUUUUUCAAGAAUAAUAACAUUUUGAUGCUUGACCAAACAAAUCUGCUGGUGGAUGUGGAUCUCGAGACUGUAUUUAGGCUAUAAGCCCAUAUUCUUUCAGCAGUGAUACUCUUCUAAAAGCAUAUUAAGUUGAACACACACCUUUGGAGAAUGGAAAAUCUUUUUUUUUGUAUGUGUAUGUUUGGCCUAGUAGGGGAGUGACACAAAGAAAACUGGAAAGGCCAGUUGGAAAUUUUGCAACUAUGACACAUAUUGUUUUAAUGCCAUAAAUGCUAGGUCACUGAAGAUUUUAAAAUAGAAGCAUAACCUAAAGAGAUCUGCCUUAGAACCAUCUCUGUACUGAAAUAACCGAUUAACUAUUUCUAAACUUUCUUGUAAGUGACCUCCUAUCUACUUCACAAAGAGAGAAAGUCAAUUGCCUGCCCACAGUAAGUUUGGAUUGUCACAUCGGACAUGCAAAGAGGAAAAAAAAAUACAGUUUGGUGUUCCUUUUUCUCCAAAAUGGUUGUUUUUGUUUGUUUGUUUUUUGCUUUUUAGGGCUACACCUGUGGCAUAUGGAAGUUUCCAGGCUAGGGGUCCAAUCAGAGCUGGAGCUGCCAACCUAUACCACAGCUGCAGCAAGGCGAUAUCUGAGCCUCUGCGACCUAUACCACAGCUCACGGCAAUGCCAGAUCCUUAACCCACUGAGCAAGGCCAGAGUUCAAACCUGAGUCCUCAUGGUUACUAGUCUGGUUCAUUACCUCUGAGCCACGAUGGGAACUCCCAUGCUGUCUGUUCUCAAUUGCUUUGAGGAAUGCCAUCUGUUGGCAUGGCAGUUACCUGAGUCUACCUAUCUGUGGAUCACCAAGCAAAACCUUGCCGUGUGCACUGUACUCCCUGGACUUUUUCUUUCAUUAGGUUAAACUACUCAUAGGCCCUUGGAUACAGAGGAUGGAAUCCUCGAGGAAUUGGUGGUGAUGAGCAUGGGAGCACCCCCACCCCUGGAACCUGGACUCUGGCUGUUGACUUCACUCCACUCCCUCCCACCCCCUGACUACAGGAAUGAAGAGGGGGAAGCUGAAAAGAGAAUGAGUAAUGAGGAGUCUGGUUAAGAGGUAAUGAAGACUUGAACUGA